UCAUUUUUCCUGAGUCUCACUCUCACUCUCCAUUUCUUCGGUCCUAUCUCCACCACCACCACCACCACCACCACCACCACCACCGUCAAACGACAUCUCUUCUUCUACUACGAUGACCACCAUCAUCUUUAUCAUCUCCGUCUUCUCAUCUUCUUCAUCUUCAUCUUCUCUGUUGUUAGUUUUUCUAUCUUCAAUUUUAUUUGAAUCUGAUAAAAAGAUUACAUUUUUGGGUUAAACUUAACAUAUUCUGUCUGGGUUUUGAUUUUAUGAAUAAUUCUUCCAAAGUUUGAAGUUGAAUCUGAUAUAGGGUUUAGAUCAAAUUUUAUUGGAUUGGUAUUAAAUGGGGAUAGGGAUUUGAUUAUUGAAUUGGUAUUCAAGGGGGAUAGGGUAGGAUUUUAUGAAUUUGUCAAAUUUAGGAUAUGUUCUAAUUUGUGUAAUUUGUUCUUUUCAGGUUAAAAUUAACUGACCCAUCUCAAUGGAUGAAUCAAACCCUUAGGGAACUUUGCUCGAGCCAUAGGUUUAUGAAUGACUAAAGAGAGGGCAGUGAAUAUAUGUAUUGAGUUUCGUGAUUAUACUUCAAAACUACUCCUAUAGUUGAUCAGUACAAGUUAACUACUAGUAGUUGAAUAGCAUCGGGAAGCAGUGGAGCUGCUAACGAAAUGUUUAAGAUUGAUACAUUCCAGAUAUCGAGAAUUUCAUCUCUUUAAAGUAGUAGUAGAAGAAGAAUAAUAGGUUUUUGGGUAAAGCAUACAUUCCAGAUAUCGAGAAUUCUUCCUCAGAACCACCACCGGCGAAUGGAUAUUGAACAAGUGAUUGAGUUUUUAGCUCAUGUUCCGUUGCUACAACGGCUUCCGGAUUCAUCUUUUGCUGAGAUCGCAAAAAUAGUGCAGUUCAAACAUUACAACCGUGGCGAGUUCAUCGUUCGGGUGGGAGACGCCGGAGAUGAAAUUUACUUCAUUUGGGAAGGAGUGGUAAGAGAAAUGAAAAUUGAUUCUAUAGGAUUCCUAAUUUUUGGUUUUGGUUAAUUUUUUUAUGCAGAGCUAAUGUUACUAGGGUUCAUUUCAUUGCUACUGACGAUAGGACAAGUGCCCAUCUCAAAGAUUUGCAUCCCACAGAGUGUUGCUAAUACUUGGCAUCCAUGUAGCAAGCAACAAGAAUAUGACUUGUACAACAUUGGAAGCGUCACAACAGCAUUUCAUAAUACUGAUUCCCAUGAAUCCAACAAUUUAGUUGGAACUCCCGGCCGUAGACUUGUCUCUAAUUCAUCGUAUCCACUUUCAAGUCAUUGGCGCGCUUUAGCUGGAGGAGGAGACUAUGAUGUAUGCGCGGCCAA
Molecule: long non-coding RNA, 1333 nt
Organism: Papaver somniferum (opium poppy)
Lineage: Eukaryota; Viridiplantae; Streptophyta; Magnoliopsida; Ranunculales; Papaveraceae
Exons: 5
Source: RefSeq, a predicted model, not a curated record